GUGCCCCAGGUUUCCAAGGAGCUGAUCUGCAUGUACACAGGUAGUGUUCCCAGGCACGGAGGACGCAAAUGGGCUCGCAGUUCAUUAAACACCAAGUGGGCCCCAGGAGACAGUAGCCUCCUGUAAAGAAAAGAACCAGAGGUCCAGAAAAUUUCCUGCCCUUGCUGCCAGAGAAAUUUACUAUGUCUCCAAGUAUAAGUGAGGGUUCUGAAGUCCAGAGAGGUGAUUUUUCCAGGGCUGCAGCUAGCCAGUGACAGAGCACAGACCUGGACUUCCUGACAUCCCACCUCCACGGUCUCCUGCUCCUGCCUACGUUUGGACACCAAUAACCCUCGUCUGUCUGAAGUUAAACUUCUUGUGAUUGCUUUGGGAAACGAUAACUGAAUUAAAAAGGAGUUGGCAGU
Molecule: long non-coding RNA, 404 nt
Organism: Neofelis nebulosa (Clouded leopard)
Lineage: Eukaryota; Metazoa; Chordata; Mammalia; Carnivora; Felidae
Exons: 3
Source: RefSeq, a predicted model, not a curated record